This 254-nucleotide ribosomal RNA is filed under the name uncultured bacterium. RNAcentral's name for it is "partial 16S ribosomal RNA". It matches the Rfam family "Bacterial small subunit ribosomal RNA", at positions 524 to 776 of the family's 1533-position model. The record is from RNAcentral.
UACGGGGGGGAGCAAGCGUUGUUCGGAUUUACUGGGCGUAAAGGGCGCGUAGGCGGUAGCACAAGUCAGUUGUGAAAUCUCCGGGCUUAACUCGGAAAGGUCAACUGAUACUGUGCGACUAGAGUGCAGAAGGGGCAACUGGAAUUCUCGGUGUAGCGGUGAAAUGCGUAGAUAUCGAGAGGAACACCUGCGGCGAAGGCGGGUUGCUGGGCUGACACUGACGCUGAGGCGCGAAAGCCAGGGGAGCGAACGGG